UGGGGGAUAUUGCACAAUGGGGGAAACCCUGAUGCAGCGAUGCCGCGUGAAUGAAGACGGCCUUCGGGUUGUAAAGUUCUGUCGCAGGGGACGAAAAUGACGGUACCCUGCAAGAAAGCUCCGGCUAACUACGUGCCAGCAGCCGCGGUAAUACGUAGGGAGCAAGCGUUGUCCGGAAUUACUGGGUGUAAAGGGAGCGUAGGCGGGAGGAUAAGUUGAAUGUGAAAUCUAUGGGCUCAACCCAUAGCUGCGUUCAAAACUGUUCUUCUUGAGUGAAGUAGAGGCAGGCGGAAUUCCUAGUGUAGCGGUGAAAUGCGUAGAUAUUAGGAGGAACACCAGUGGCGAAGGCGGCCUGCUGGGCUUUUACUGACGCUGAGGCUCGAAAGCGUGGGUAGCAAACAGG
Molecule: ribosomal RNA, 403 nt
Filed under: uncultured bacterium
Lineage: Bacteria
Description: bacterial SSU rRNA
Rfam family: Bacterial small subunit ribosomal RNA
Source: RNAcentral